Molecule: ribosomal RNA, 799 nt
Filed under: Mammomonogamus auris
Lineage: Eukaryota; Metazoa; Nematoda; Chromadorea; Rhabditida; Syngamidae
Description: eukaryotic LSU rRNA
Rfam family: Eukaryotic large subunit ribosomal RNA
Source: RNAcentral
CAAGGAUUCCUUUAGUAACGGCGAGUGAACAGGGAGAAGCCCAGCGCUGAAUCUCUCGAUGUUACAUCGUUGAGAAAUGUAGCGUAUAGAUGUGACUAUCAGUUUGUGCUACAUAUCCAAAGUCCCUUUGAUAGGGGCCAUAUUCCUGAGAGGGUGCGAGACCUGUGCGGAUAGUGGAGCAAGCUGUACGGUCAUAUCUUGGAGUCGGGUUGCUUGAAAAUGCAGCCUAAAGUGGGUGAUAAACUUCAUCUAAGGCUAAAUAUAGACGCGAAUUCGAUAGCAAACAAGUACUGUGAAGGAAAGUUGCAAAGAACUUUGAAGAGAGAGUUCAAGAGAACGUGAAAUCGCUGGAGUGGAACCGGAGAGAGUUGACGUAGUCGGGUAACUAAAAUCACCGGAAUCGCUUAAAUGUGAUCGAGGCGUUUCUAUGUUGCCUAUGACUGCGCUGACAGCACUGGCUGUGCGUUCCGAACCGUUUUCGUUGCCCAUCGUUUUCACUACGAUGGUGUCUUGUUUACGGGUAGGUUUGUCAUAUGAUGCUAGUGUUUUAUCCUGCUUCUAAGGUAGGGUGUCAGUGUGAAAGUCGACCACCUCUCCGACCCGUCUUGAAACACGGACCGAGGAGUGUAACUUGUACGCGAGUCAAAGGGUGAAAAACCCCACGGCGAAAUGAAAGUAAAGGUCGGUUAACCGGCUAACAUGGGAUCCGUUUCAUUUUCGUAACAACGGCGCACCAUGGCCCUGUCUCGCCUGCUUGCAGAUGGGCAGCGGUAGAGCGUACAGGUUGCGACCCGAAAGA